This 448-nucleotide ribosomal RNA is filed under the name uncultured bacterium. Its description in RNAcentral is "bacterial SSU rRNA". It matches the Rfam family "Bacterial small subunit ribosomal RNA", at positions 331 to 793 of the family's 1533-position model. The record is from RNAcentral.
CCAGACUCCUACGGGAGGCAGCAGUGGGGAAUAUUGCACAAUGGGCGAAAGCCUGAUGCAGCAACGCCGCGUGAAGGAAGACGGUUUUCGGAUUGUAAACUUCUGUUCUUAGUGAAGAAUAAUGACGGUAACUAAGGAGCAAGCCACGGCUAACUACGUGCCAGCAGCCGCGGUAAUACGUAGGUGGCAAGCGUUGUCCGGAAUUACUGGGUGUAAAGGGAGCGUAGACGGUGAUGUAAGUCUGGAGUGAAAGGCGGGGGCCCAACCCCCGGACUGCUCUGGAAACUAUGUGACUGGAGUGCAGGAGAGGGGAGCGGAAUUCCUAGUGUAGCGGUGAAAUGCGUAGAUAUUAGGAGGAACACCAGUGGCGAAGGCGGCUCACUGGACUGUAACUGACGUUGAGGCUCGAAAGCGUGGGGAGCAAACAGGAUUAGAUACCCCAGUAAAA